AGAACGAACGCUGGUGGCAUGCCUAAUACAUGCAAGUCGAACGAAGGCUUCGGCCUUAGUGGCGCACGGGUGCGUAACGCGUGGGAAUCUGCCCCUUGGUUCGGAAUAACAGUUGGAAACGACUGCUAAUACCGGAUGAUGACGAAAGUCCAAAGAUUUAUCGCCAAGGGAUGAGCCCGCGUAGGAUUAGCUAGUUGGUGAGGUAAAGGCUCACCAAGGCGACGAUCCUUAGCUGGUCUGAGAGGAUGAUCAGCCACACUGGGACUGAGACACGGCCCAGACUCCUACGGGAGGCAGCAGUAGGAAUA
RNAcentral lists this ribosomal RNA (308 nucleotides) under uncultured soil bacterium. Its description in RNAcentral is "bacterial SSU rRNA". It matches the Rfam family "Bacterial small subunit ribosomal RNA", at positions 26 to 363 of the family's 1533-position model. The record is from RNAcentral.